UACGUAGGGUGCGAGCGUUGUCCGGAGUUUAUUGGGCGUAAAGGGCUCGUAGGCGGCCUGUCGCGUCGGGAGUGAAAAGCCCACUGCUUAACGGUGGGUCUGCUUUUCGGUACGGGCGGGCUAGAGUAUGGCAGGGGAGACUGGAAUUCCUGGUGUAGCGGUGGAAUGCGCAGAUAAUCAGGAGGAACACCGGUGGCGAAAGGCGGGUCUCUGGGCCAUUACUGACGUGAGGAGCGAAAGCGUGGGGAGCGAAACAGG
RNAcentral lists this ribosomal RNA (258 nucleotides) under uncultured bacterium. RNAcentral describes it as "partial 16S ribosomal RNA". It matches the Rfam family "Bacterial small subunit ribosomal RNA", at positions 524 to 776 of the family's 1533-position model. The record is from RNAcentral.